Solanum lycopersicum (tomato) is the source of this 2772-nucleotide non-coding RNA. The record is from RefSeq and is a predicted model, not a curated record. NCBI's taxonomy places the organism in Eukaryota, Viridiplantae, Streptophyta, Magnoliopsida, Solanales, Solanaceae.
CUCUUUCAAUUCAAUUCUAUCCAAAUUUCUAUUGCAAUUUUGGUCAUUUCAUAUCUUUUCAAUUUAAUUUCAAGACUUCAUUUAUUAAUCUCGUCCGUCCGUUUAAAUAACUAAAUCCUUGAUCGAAUCCUACCCCUUCAUCUUGCAUCAAAUCAAUGGUCCAUAUUUAAUCUUACCUAUUCUAACCUAAAAAGAGCCUAAUCCUUAAAAAAUGUCAUUCUCUUCUCCCUCCCCUCUCCUUGGCAGCCGCCAGCCCUCCUCUCUCUUUCUUCCCAUUCUUUUCGGCGAAAGCCACCAAUUGCCGGUGGACUCUCUCUCCCUCGCGCCUCCCCCUUUGCUCUCUCUUCUCUUCUCUUCUCUCUUCUCCUCCUCCCUUCUUCUCCGUCUCCUUUCCCCGUCGCUGGCAGCGGUGCUUGGCGAAGGACAGCAACGGCAGCCAGCAGCCCCAGCACCGCCCGUCUCUCCUCUCUUCUCUCUUUCCUUCUCUCCUCUUCUCCGGCGAAUAGUGAGAAACCAGCCCCUCCAGCAGCAAAAAACAAAAGCAGCAGCAAGCUUUAGCGAAGAAAACGACCGCCAGCAACGCUGACAACGAGCAACCAGCAGCAAGAUCGACCUCCGGCGAAGGCAAAGUUCGGAUGGAUCUAUUCAGAUCCGUCUUUGAAAAAAUAUGACUAAUAUAGCGGUGAUGCUUUACUUCAAUGGACGAUGUGAUCCUAGCAACAAAUAUAUUAACUACUUGGCAGAUGGUGUGUUGAUACACAUAGAGUCAAUGUUUGCCACCCUCGUUUCUGUAAUUACUACUCAAUUGUCAAUAGACACAUCAACAAAUAAAGUUGAAAUCAGAUAUAAAAUUGAUGAAAGGUCUCCUCCAAUUCAAAUUCAUAAUGAUAUGGGGUAAAGGUAUAUCUUGAAACUAAAAAGGAACAUCGAGAUAUGACAAGAUACCCUUUAUGUGUCACAACAACUGAACCAGUCAACUUGGAGACUAAUGCUGCACUCAUUCCACUUUUGUGUUCAGACACUUCAGGAGAUAUGAGGGUUAUACACAAUUCAUACUUCUCUAAUACAUUUAAUGGUAUUGAUGAAGCAAUAGGGUUAAUUGGAUUCAGAUCAUGUGAGAAAGUUGAUGAGCUAGAAGAAUUAGCACCAGGCAUCAUUAUUAAUCUCAAUCACUCUUUAUUUGAAAAAGAUCAGGUGUAUAAGAAUAAAUAUGUCCUCACUAGUGCACUAAAAAGACAUUUCAUUCUUAAUCAUUUUCAAUUUAAGAUAAUAAGAUCAAGCGCAAUAAGGUAAGACCUAAAUUCAAGUCACUUUAAAUUAUUAAUUGUGUAUUAAUAUUUUUUCUACAGCUAUUCGAUACAGUGCCUAGGAGAAAGUUGCCUAUUGGAGUUUACGAGCUUCAAGCUUGAACAAAUAUGAAAUGUUCAAGAUUAGAGAAUUCGAAAGCGAACACACUUGUUUUUUGCUAUAUAAUUCAUUAUCGGAAAAGCUAGCAAUUAAGAGUGUUGUUGGGAGUAUUAUUGUGGGUAAAUAUGCUGAACCAGAUGUUAUUUACACACCAAAAGACACACAACGUGACAUGUUAGCUGAAUAUGGUGUGCUACUCACAUAUAUGCAAGCUUGGAGAGCUAAAGAGGCAGCUCUUGAAUUAAUCCGGGGUGAUCCAAUUCAAUCAUAUGCAAAGUUGCCAAGCUACUUUCACAUACUAGAGGCAACUUACCCUGGUUCUCAUAUAAGAUUUCACAAAUCAGAGGAUGACCAUUUUUUAUAUGCGUUUGUAGCUUUGUUCACCUCAAUAAAAGGAAAAAGGAUGGGAAUAUUGUAGACCAAUUGUAGUUAUUUUGUAAUUUUCUUAAAAGGAGCAUACAAAGGGACACUGCUAACCACUAAUACCGUAGAUGCAGCAGGGAGUAUAUUGCCACUUGCAUAUGCUAUUGUCGAUUCAGAGAAUGAUUCAUCUUGGAGGUAGUUUUUUUAGCAAUUCAGAGAUGCUUUCGGUCAAAGACCAUAGAUGUGUAUCGUUUUCGAUAGGCAUGCAGUUAUUAAGGCAGUUUCAACAGUUUAUGAUGAAGUACCUCAUUUUGCAUGUAUGUGGCACUUAAUGCAAAACAUAAUGAAAAAUUUUAGAAGAAGUCAACAAAGGGUCACUGAGUUGUUCUACUCUAUGGCAAAAACAUACACCAUGACAGAAUUUAAUCAAUGUAUGACAAUGGUUGAGAAGAUAGAUAAGAGGAUCAAAGAUUACUUGUUGAACAUUGGAUACAACAAAUGGUCGCGUGUGCAUGCUGAAGUAAACAGAACUUGGAUGAUGACAUCAAAUAUAGCAGAAUCAGUCAAUUCACGAACAAGACAUGCCAAAGUUCUUACAGUCUUGCAACUCUUGGAAUUCAUGAGACAACUUGUACAGAAAUGGAAUAACAAUAACAGAUCAAAGGCGACAAUUUCAGGUUUUCACCUUGGAAAAAGUAUGAAAAUAUAUUCCGGCGCAAUAAAACUGCAUCAGAGAAAUUAAAGAUUGUAGAGACAAAUAAAUAUGUAUAUACCGUACUUGAUGGUAUUACACAAUUCACAGUAUGUCUUCACCAACGUACAUGCACAUGUGGGAGAUUUCAAUUGGAUGAGUUACCAUGUCCACAUGCUUUGGCCGUUUUAACAAUAAAACACACUGGUUAUGAGAAAUAUUGUUCGGCUAACUAUACAAGAAAAUAUUUAUUGUUGACAUAUCAAUUUCAAAUGGAUCUCCUGCCAAAUGAAAGUACAUGGAACACACCA